CAUCUGCGCUAAAAUAUCAAGGUGAAAGUCAUCAUAGCUUGCGUAGUAGGCCUACAUCUGCAGCCUGUUUUCCUGGUCUACUGUGAAGAUCCUGUUAUUUGGCUGUGAGCAUCCUGGUGGUCCAGCCUGCAGCCUAUGGACUCUGCCCCCCUCCCGCCGUGUCUAAAUUAGACUUUUGCACCUGCCUUCGGUUUGUGAUCUCUGGAUCCAAUCCUCGCUAUCUUGCCUGCCCAUCAGCCCCCACCUCUCGGACCUCAGCUCAAGUUCUGUGCCUGCCUGCCGCUCUCCCCAACCAUGCUUACCAUCCACCUUUUGUUCACACCAAUAAACAUCCUGAACUGC
Molecule: long non-coding RNA, 342 nt
Organism: Micropterus dolomieu (smallmouth bass)
Lineage: Eukaryota; Metazoa; Chordata; Actinopteri; Centrarchiformes; Centrarchidae
Exons: 2
Source: RefSeq, a predicted model, not a curated record